This 253-nucleotide ribosomal RNA is filed under the name uncultured bacterium. RNAcentral describes it as "partial 16S ribosomal RNA". It matches the Rfam family "Bacterial small subunit ribosomal RNA", at positions 524 to 776 of the family's 1533-position model. The record is from RNAcentral.
GACGUAGGGCGCGAGCGUUGUCCGGAUUUAUUGGGCGUAAAGAGCUCGUAGGCGGUUUGUCGCGUCUGCUGUGAAAACUCGGAGCUUAACCCCGGGCCUGCAGUGGGUACGGGCAGACUAGAGUGCGGUAGGGGAGACUGGAAUUCCUGGUGUAGCGGUGAAAUGCGCAGAUAUCAGGAGGAACACCGGUGGCGAAGGCGGGUCUCUGGGCCGUAACUGACGCUGAGGAGCGAAAGCGUGGGGAGCGAACAGG